GCUUAGCUCAGUUGGUAGAGCGCUCUAGAAAUUAAGAGGUCCAUGGUUCAAUACCAGGACCAAGCA
This 66-nucleotide transfer RNA is filed under the name Ixodes scapularis (black-legged tick). RNAcentral's name for it is "tRNA-OTHER". Lineage: Eukaryota; Metazoa; Arthropoda; Arachnida; Ixodida; Ixodidae. The record is from RNAcentral.